Molecule: ribosomal RNA, 236 nt
Filed under: uncultured bacterium
Lineage: Bacteria
Description: partial 16S ribosomal RNA
Rfam family: Bacterial small subunit ribosomal RNA
Source: RNAcentral
AAUGAACGCUGGCGGCGUGCUUAACACAUGCAAGUCGAGCGAGGCCUGGGGGGCAACUCCCAGAGUCGAGCGGCGGACGGGUGAGUAACACGUGGGUAACCUGCCCGGAAGUGGGGAAUACCUCGGGAAACUCGAGCUAAUACCGCAUGACAUCUCCGGGACGAAAGUCCUGGCGAUCAAAGCGGGGUCGCAAAGAUCUCGCGCUACCGGAUGGGCCCGCGCCCGAUUAGCUAGUU